ACUUUUUUAAUAGAAAUACUGCACAAUGGGAUUUUCUGUCUUCACAACAAUGCUUAAACCGCAUCAGGGGACCACUUUUGAUGUAUGGAAAAAAUCUAAGAAACUUUGAUUUUUGAGUGUAGUUACCGUUUAAUUCAGUGAGCAUGCACUGUUUGGUUAGAAGUGUUUCUGUAUCACAGCAACGGCACAUGUGAUGGAAUUUGGAAAUCAAAUGGAUACUUGUAGUAAUACUGGACAGCGAAAAAUGAUGGGGGAGAGGGUGAAUGUGACAAAGUCCUGACUGGGCCCAGCACCGCACGUCACUGUGCCUGUUCCCCUGGCCCCGAAGAGGAACCAGUGGCAUGAUGUCACACACCUGUUUGGCUGGAGGCAGGGGCCUGGAGACUCUAGGAGCUGUGGGGUGUCAAGUUGGCACCCCUGCUACGCCCUGUGGAUGUGUCAAAAUGGCAGAUGAUGGUCGGGGUGUGUGCAGCUGCUAGGGAUGAAGAGUGCCAAGAGCGAAUGUUUCCUGCGGGUCAAAUAAACAUGAAAAGAAAGGGAGAGAUAUCAGACUUCUUUUUAAGGAAGCACAAACAGGCAGAUCAGGUGAAAACAGACCCCAGCCCUUGCAUCACCACCGGACCCCAGAGCAGCUCCCUACCUGAGGCUAGUCAGAGUCAGUGUGGUCAGACUUCACAAGGACCCUGUCUACCACCACCAGAUAUAUCAAGGGAUGACACAGAGACCUCUGGCUCUGAGCACGACAGUGAGCCAGAGCUGCCAGGAGAUGUCAUCGAGCCCCUCCCAACUGCAUCAAGCACCAGAUAUGCUGUUCUAAAAGGACCCGAUGACAUUUCAAGAACCAGAGAAGACGGUCCUGUACAGCCGUGUCUGAAAACAUUUCCCAGAACUCAGCAUGGUACUAGGAAAAGGGCUUUCAACUGCUCCUAGUAUAAGGACAAUUCUUGGCUUGAAUAUUCUGUAAAUCAAGAUUCGACUUAUUGUUUCGCCUGUAGGCAUUUUUCUCUGCUCAAUACACCUUAAUCUGCCUUCACAUCACAGUCAGGUUUUUGUAACUGGAAAAAGGCGCAGUUUAAAGAUUCUGGGUUUAAGCUCCAUUCGAAGGCAGAGCAUCAUAUCAAAUCUAUGUAUGCUUGGAAUCAGCAUAAAAGGGAUAUUGACAGCAACUCAUCAAUGUUAGAUGUCAUAAAUGAGGACCGGAAAAAGAAAGUGGAGAAAAACUGUACUUACAUUAAAACAAUUUCAGAUGUGCUCCUAUUAACUGCCACUCAAAAUAUAGCGCAGAGAUGUCAUCGAGAG
RNAcentral lists this long non-coding RNA (1299 nucleotides) under Salmo salar (Atlantic salmon). RNAcentral's name for it is "lncRNA (ENSSSAG00000110326.1)". Lineage: Eukaryota; Metazoa; Chordata; Actinopteri; Salmoniformes; Salmonidae. The record is from RNAcentral.